CCUGGUAGCUCAGUUGGUAAAGAAUCUGCCUGCAAUGCAGGAGACCCUGGUUCAAUUCCUGGGUCAGGA
This is a non-coding RNA of Bos taurus (domestic cattle), 69 nucleotides long. NCBI's taxonomy places the organism in Eukaryota, Metazoa, Chordata, Mammalia, Artiodactyla, Bovidae. The record is from Rfam.